CUGGGAGUCUGCUGCCCAGUGGUUGCAAACGGCAGCCUCCUUGGUAGUGUAUGCAGACUGUUGUCUAUACGGGCUGCCCUAAGAGGCCUUAGAGACAAUU
RNAcentral lists this small nucleolar RNA (100 nucleotides) under Mesocricetus auratus (golden hamster). RNAcentral describes it as "Small nucleolar RNA SNORA70 (ENSMAUG00000006559.1)". It matches the Rfam family "Small nucleolar RNA SNORA70", at positions 36 to 135 of the family's 135-position model. Rfam says of the family: snoRNA U70 seems to be exclusive to mammals and is a member of the H/ACA class of snoRNA which contain H (ANANNA) and ACA box motifs. H/ACA box snoRNAs are involved in the conversion of uridines to pseudouridines (5-ribosyluracil) a constituent of structural RNAs (transfer, ribosomal, small nuclear, and small nucleolar). Lineage: Eukaryota; Metazoa; Chordata; Mammalia; Rodentia; Cricetidae. The record is from RNAcentral.